This 677-nucleotide ribosomal RNA is filed under the name uncultured Bacillota bacterium. RNAcentral's name for it is "bacterial SSU rRNA". It matches the Rfam family "Bacterial small subunit ribosomal RNA", at positions 65 to 722 of the family's 1533-position model. The record is from RNAcentral. Lineage: Bacteria; Bacillati; Bacillota.
AACGCGACUUAGGCUUCGGCCUAAGUUGAGUGGCGAACGGGUGAGUAACACGUGGGUGACCUACCUUCGAGUGGGGGAUAACGUCCCGAAAGGGACGCUAAUACCGCAUAACAUCCUGCCUUUGAACAGGUGGAGAUCAAAGCCGGGGAUCGCAAGACCUGGCGCUUGAUGAGGGGCCCGCGCCUGAUUAGCUAGUUGGUGGGGUAAUGGCUCACCAAGGCGACGAUCAGUAUCCGGCCUGAGAGGGCGGACGGACACACUGGGACUGAGACACGGCCCAGACUCCUACGGGAGGCAGCAGUGGGGAAUUGUUCGCAAUGGGCGCAAGCCUGACGACGCAACGCCGCGUGGAGGAUGAAGGUCUUCGGAUUGUAAACUCCUGUUGCUCGGGACGAAAAGCUUCGACCUAAUACGUCGAAGUCUGACGGUACCGAGUGAGGAAGCCCCGGCUAACUCUGUGCCAGCAGCCGCGGUAAUACAGAGGGGGCAAGCGUUGUUCGGAAUUACUGGGCGUAAAGGGCGCGUAGGCGGCCUGCUAAGUCGAACGUGAAAUCCCUGGGCUCAACCCAGGAACUGCGUCCGAUACUGGUUGGCUUGAAUCCGGGAGAGGGAUGUGGAAUUCCAGGUGUAGCGGUGAAAAUGCGUAGAUAUCUGGAAGGAACACCGGUGGCGAAGGC